UACGUAGGGGGCAAGCGUUGUCCGGAUUUACUGGGCGUAAAGGGCGUGCAGGCGGUGCGGUAAGUUUAGCGUGACAGUCUCCGGCUUAACCGGGGAAGGCCGCUGAAAACUGCUGGACUUGAGGACCAGAGAGGGACAUAGAAUUCCGGGUGGAGUGGUGAAAUGCGUAGAUAUCCGGAGGAAUACCAAAGGCGAAGGCAGUGUCCUGGCUGGUAACUGACGCUGAGGCGCGAAAGCUAGGGGAGCGAACAGG
RNAcentral lists this ribosomal RNA (253 nucleotides) under uncultured bacterium. RNAcentral's name for it is "partial 16S ribosomal RNA". It matches the Rfam family "Bacterial small subunit ribosomal RNA", at positions 524 to 776 of the family's 1533-position model. The record is from RNAcentral.